Peromyscus californicus insignis is the source of this 16494-nucleotide long non-coding RNA. RefSeq lists it as uncharacterized. The record is from RefSeq and is a predicted model, not a curated record. The transcript has 2 exons. NCBI's taxonomy places the organism in Eukaryota, Metazoa, Chordata, Mammalia, Rodentia, Cricetidae.
CACCCGGGUCCCUGGAAUCUGCCUUUGAGAGAUGUAGAAUUUCGGGCGGGAGGGACUGAGGAGGCUUGAUCCAUAGACCCUGUGCAGUCUGGACCACCUUCAGCCGGUGGUGCUGGGUUGCUGUCUCAACAACAGGUAAGCUUCUGCCUCUCCACUUGCCUUCAACUCACCUGAGGAACCCAAGACUCCCCGUCAUCCUCCCCUCCACGGCCAGAGCAAACCCCAGCCCCCAGGAGAGAUCGGAGUUCCGAGGCUCCAGGCUACAUGCUCAUUAGCAGCUUCCCAAGCGGGGGUUUUGUGUUUAUGUAAAACACAAAUGGAAAGCUGCUCUCUGCCAGUGUUUACGGCAACUCUCACUCAGCGGCGAUUUCUCCCUCCCCCUCUCGAGUUCCUGGGGACGUUUCGCAGAACAAAGCGCCUUGUUUUGUCUUUGCAGAGAAUGAAAAAACACAGGACCAACUUUCCAAGGGCCCAGGUCUGUGAUGCAGUGAAAUCAAUAUUUUGCUUACACUGAGUGGGGGAAUUUGCCUCUAAACUAAAGGCAAAGGAGCCUGUUUGGAGCAGAGCAGGUGGCAGGAGCUGAGAAUUAACAGAUAAUUUCUCAUUGUUCCCGGAUCCAGCCUCCACACUCCGCAGGCAGCUCUGCAUCUCUGGCAUUUCUCAACCUAACAGAGCGAAAGAGGCUCUGCCCUGACAGGGCUGCAGGAAGAGGCCGGAGCUCCAGGCUUCUGGUGCCAGAGUAACUGCAGGAAAGAGACAGAGACACUGAGAUAGAGGAGACAGGCACAGAGACUGGGGGUAGGAGAUACAGAGAAACCUAGUCAGACACCUACAAUGGCACACAUUCAGAAAGCAACACUAAAAAUACUUCUUCGUACACUAUGACAUGCUUCACCUUAGCUGGUCUCUUCCUGCCUCACCAUCAGCUGCUGAUGCCACUGUGGUGACUAGUCAGUAUCAAAACAGAAGAAAACCUUCUCCUGGAUCUCUCAAACCCUUCCCCAGGCCCCAAUUCCCAAACACAUCUAAAAGUCUUCUCAUAUGAAGAAACCAGAUUCAGACUCCCAGGGCGUCACCCAAAUGCCAGAGGGAAAAAGGUUGAAAGAAAUGGAAUUGUAGACCACUCAACCCUGCAGAGAAAGACUAUGCUGAGUGUGGGCUUACACAUGGGGAAGGGGGGGGGGGGAGCAUGGGAAAUAUGGCCAAAUGCCAAACAGGGACAUCAGACAGGGUAGUAGGAGGCCUAGGGCAGUCCCAGCCACCGUCAAGACUUCAGUGUCCUUGUGAAGCAGGGGCCCUUCAAGGCUAGAAGCAGAGGAUGAUUUUCCACGUGCCCAGCUCCCCUCCCCUCCCCCAGCUAUCUUCUAGCUUUGGCCAGAACUGUCUGAAUCUGGGGUCCCUGGACCAGGCUGCUCAGAAGUACAGAAUGGGUCUAGACAAGGGGCCUGAGGCAGAAUGAGAGAUCUGAAGCAGAAACCAGAGGUCUCCCACUCCCAGGCCUUUGUCAUCCUCUCCCUAGAUAGCCAAAGUGCACAUUCCCCACCCCCACCCCCAUUCUCUGCCCUUGGGGCAGGCACCCACCCUACUCAGAGCAGUGGUGUCUUGUUGAAUUAUGCUACAAAUAAAAUAAAUGAGGUCCAUAUAAUUUUUUUUUUUAAAUUUGAACCUUGGUAAGAAAUUGCUAAUGCUGUAGGCGGGAAGAGUGAGCUCCUUUGACAUGAACUGAUGUGUCAUAUCAUCUUUCCAUCUCAGUGCCGUUUCUAAAUAGGGAGCCCUCUCCCCAGCCCCGCCCCCAGCCUCUCCAGUCCCCGGCAGAGAUGUAAAGGUGGAUAGUCUGACGUGCAGAGAGAGAUAACAGGCAACUAGACACAAGGAAGCUCACUGCUUUGUCAAGUAAGUCAGAGCCACAGAGACCCCAGCUUUGAGGGCCCACGCUCUUCUCUCUACCUCCCUUUCCCCAUGGUUUCUGAGGUAUUUUCCGAGAUCAGAGAGGGUCACCCAGGAAGCGUAGUGUUCAGAGGCUAACUUGUACUCAUUGGCUAAGCUAGUCCCUGAAAACAGCCAAGAAGGAAAUUAUCUCAUUCAGUCCUCAACUGUUAUGAGGAAGGUGGUUCCCAGACCCUCUGACCACAGGCAAUGCCUCUUCCUUCUUCAUAUUGAAAGAAGGUUGGUAGGGUUGUGAAAUUUUUAUAUUUUCCUUUAAAAGGUUAUGAUAUUUUCCAAUAGACUUUCUUAUAUGUAAAGGGUAUUCAUAAAUUAAUUAUAGAGGAAUGGAAGAUUCAGUUCUGUGUGUCUUUGCAAAGAUCUCUGGGACCUAGGUGCUGGCUUGGAGGGAAGUCAAUGUCAUUGAUAAAGCCCAGAGUUGGAACCUGGGCUGAUCAACUCCUCCUCCUCCAAACAUGCUUGACUGCUUGACUUUGAGCAGAGCUGGGACUCUCCAGGAGCUGCCUGGAGAGUCUCGGCUACACCUGGGAUGUGUACGGUGCUCAGGGCUCAGCUUCCAGGAAAGGAUCUAGAGCACAGCCUCAGUGUUGGAAUUCUCCCCAGGAGCCUGCCCAGAGUUUGCAAUCUCAAGACUCUGGCUGUUCUACUAAUGAAAGAAAACCAAAUAAAAUGUCCAAAGUAAUUAAAGUGACAUGUUAGAAAAGGCCUGCCAAAAGAUGUCUUAAUCCUGGAUUUUGAUAGAAUUCAGACAGCAAAUCAAGGGCUUGAAAUCUCCCACGGAAUGAAGGGGCCAGAGCCCCUGGAAAGAACAAAGCUGUUUUGCCAAAUUAUAGUUUCCCUCUACACUGUGGGAUCAAAUUCUUUUCCUAUCCAAGACCCCAGGUAGCAUCUAUGUUCCUGCUGUUUGCUGGAGUAUAAUAACUGGCUGAGGCAUCACCUCUUUCCUUUACUAAAGCUUCAUUUGUAAAGGGAGAGGCGUUUGACAAGGCAGUCUCGGGUGUUAACUUCUGUGAGGGAGAUGCCCUAAGAGUAAGGUGUAUUAGUUAAUCUCACCUCACUGGUGAGCCCCCCAUACCUUAGAGAGGAGAGAGGGAGAGAGAGAGAGAGAGAGAGAGAGAGAGAGAGAGAGAGAGAGAGAGAGUAAAAUAACAGGCCUUGGAUUCUCAGCCAAAGUCCUGGCAGAACCAGAAUUGAGCCUGUGUCUUCAUUCAUUGUGUGCCCUCUCUCAGCACUCACUAAGGUCUUCACUGAGACCCAGUCUGCAGAAACUGAGACACAGUCCUGUUUCCUGUACAUGGCAACCUUCAAAUACACCACACUAUAUGCAGUUCCCGGAGCUCUGCUGCAGGCUGCUAUCCUGAGGGAGAGCACUGGAUUGCAGUGGAGAGAGGCCGCAAGUGAAAUUGAUUUAAAAUGAGUUCUCUGACCUCUAUGCUGUACAAAUGCCCAUGUUUGCAUUGACCAGGAAACUUCUGUGGCUCAAUCCUCUCUAAAUUUCCAUCCUUCUAAGUUCUCCGCUCUCAAUCUUUCCAUUUAUUCCGGGGUUCAGCUCUCCUCCUGUGUCCCUGUACAUUUUCUCCAAGUGGCCCAUUCUCCUCUUGAACUUCAAAUGUUAAACAAUACUGUUUUUGUUUGUUUAGCCUAGGCUAGCCUUCAACUGGAUAUGUAGCCUAGGGUGGUCUUGAUCUCCUGAUUUUCCUGCCUCCACUUCCCAAGGACUGAACUUACAGGCAUGCAUGAUGCCCAGCAACAAUACUAUUAUCAAUAGUAGCACUAUGGGCUGGUGAGAUGGCCCUGCAGGUAAAGACUUAUUGAGAAGCCUAGCAACCUGGGUUGGAUCCCCAGAACCUGUGUGGUGGAAAGAGUGAAUUGACUCCUGCAAGUCCUGCACAUUGUCCUCUGACCUCUAGGUGACCACUGUGGCACACUUUUGUGACAUACACAUACACAUGCAUGUGCACAUGAAGUAAAUAAAAUGCAACACACACACACACACACACACACACACACACACACACACACACACACACACACACACACACAUCAAACAUUCCCUGAGCCCUUAAGACAGUCUGGGCUCUAGGUUGUUUCCUUAAUCCUCACAACGGCCCUAUUAGCCAAAGCUUCCAGGGGCCAAGUGACCAGGCUGGAACUCAGGCCACCUCACUCCAGAGCCCACAUCCCAAGGACCUCUCAUUCUGGGUCCCUGACUCUCUCUUCUUGCUUCCGCAUGUGCGUUUUUAACUCCCAGUUCUAAACAACUCGAUCCUAGGUCUCUCCCAUCCAAUACAUCCAAGCUGGUAGUUAUAUUUUAUUUUGUGUACCAGAUCUUCCUCCUUAAAGAAAGACAAUAACUGAACUGGAGUCUUAACUGAGCACCCUCCUGACGUCUCCUUCUCCCUCGUCUGUGUCCACACAGUCAGUCACUGGGCCUCCUUAAUCACUAAGUGUUUUGAAGCCCUGUCCUGUUCUGAUUCUCCGAAGCAUCCUCACUACCCUAGUCUAGACAUUCAGCAUGCUUCCUCCGGAUCAUGGAUGCUGCAAGACAUCACAUGAUUAUGCCACCCUCAUUCUCAAAAUUCCCCAGAUUGUCUUGGCCCUUCAUGUUAACUUUGGCUCUCUCUAGUAGGGCAGACAAAGCCCCUCUAGACCUGGCCUUUUUUCCCCCUGUCCCUCUGUCUAGCUGCUUCUCUAUACGCUGGUGUCCUCCAUAGGCUCCCUGAGCUGUGGUCUCAAAGGAACAAUCCCUGCAUCUCCCCCUCCCUGCCUGCCACCCCACUUUGCAUGAUUCUAUGCUCCUUCGGCUGCUCUAAGCUCUGGAACUUUGUGACCAAUGAAUGAUAUAAUAUUGGUGCAACCAUGGGCCAGUUGCUAAGUCUCUCUGUGCCAUUGUUUUCUUAUUAAUGGAGUGGAGAUGCUGGAAGCUGCUCCCCUUUUUUUGGUACUGAGAGGUUGCCAUGAGUUGGUAUACAGGCAGCGGACUUCUGGAGCUGACUCGGGUGUCCACUUUUUUCGUCAUCCCACUGCACGAGGUGUUCUCCUUUGGCAUGGCAUUUAACAAGACACUUCCUAGCCUGUAUACUUCUUAAACCAAGAUUUACCUGUCCUUUCCCACCCUCCACCCCACCCCAGAGCUGAGGACCGAACCCAGGGCAUUGCGCUUCAGGCAAGCACUCUACCACUGAGCUAAAUCCCCAACCCCUAUUCACCUGUCUCACAGUCUGCAAACGCUUAGUGGCUCACAUCAGGUCCACAUCUUGUGUAGGGUGAGGAUAUGAGUGUGUGUGUGUGUGUGUGUGUGUGUGUGUGUGUGUGUGUGUGACUCCAAAGUGGUUUCCCAGGGCAAAUCAGGCAGGCUUCUUGGAAGGGAACUGUUUUGAGCACUCUGAGUUGUUUUAUCUUUCUUGUUUUGCCAGGUGACUUGAGUUAGAAGGAACUGGGAACAUUCCAGGAUUAAAUAUUUCAAGCCAAAACAAAUACUUUCUGGAAAAGAGAAGGCAGCAGACUUCCUUUCCAGAACCAAGUGAGAGAGGGGACCCCAGGCCCUCAGAUAUUUGUGCUCAGGCUCCCUCAGCUGUGGGGGAGAUCUCAACCUGGCCUUCUGCCUCAGAGUAACGUCCCCAUAGGAGGCUGGAGGCACAGGCUCAGAACCUCUCAGCACAUACAGCAGAAUUCGGGGCUCAAGAAGUUUCUUUUAGAGACGAAAUUGCUCAUUCUCUUGAGUGUCAAGCUGUCGCUGUGAGGCAAGUGUGUGUCUGCUGGGGAGCUGACUGUUUGCCAGGAUAAAUUUCUGAUAAUAACACAAAGUCAUUACUGUGCAAUUAGUGCUGCUAAUGAGGAAUGCAAAAUUGCCUUCCCACCCCACCCCCCAUUUCUACCUCUCUGAGCUUUUCCCUCUCUCCACAUCUAUUCUUCUCAACCUCUUCCUUCCCCGACCUGGGGGUGAGGUGGUAGAGAAAGCAUGGGGAGGGACAGAUGUAGGAGGGAGCUAUCGUCAACUACAUUUUGACUCUCUGUCCCCCCCCAAAUUAACAAAGCACCCAUGGGGCUGAGAGAGUGGUAGAGAACGGAGGCAUGAUCCAUUGCCCGGGAGAUCCUGUCUAGUGUCUGGGCAACAGGAGUUCUGUCUCAGCAUGGAGGAGGCAGCCAGAGUCAAGGCUGGGUAGCUAUGCUGUGGGAGGGUGAUGCUGUGUUUGUUUCUAAGAACAACAGCUAAGCUUGAUGGGAUAGACUUUGUUUCUUUCUGAGUAAUUAUUUCCCCUAACACACACACACACACACACACACACACACACACACACACACACACACACACAAGAAUUUUCGGUCACACUCCUGAAUGUAUCUAUCUGACAGAUACUCUGAAGUUCUCCUUUAGCGGUGGCUAUCCAGCUUUUGGGAAACUUUAGCAUUCCCCAGGAGAGUGGAACAGGGCACGGUUACAAACUCCGAGAUAAUCACAGAGACCUCUGUCCCUAAGGGUGCUUCCUCAGAGUGGGCUGCUUGGGCAAGCAGGAAGCCAGUUGGUGGGUUGGCGCUCACCUUAGCCCCUAGGGACAGGGCAGAUGAAGACUUCAGGAGGAGGAGAAGAAAAGAGGAAAUGGCUCCGUGAGGCAAGCUCAGGGGAGAAGGUUGGGAACCAGGGCCAGGAUUCCAAGAACUCUUGCAGCAGCGAGAGCAGCAGGCAUGGAGGUGGCUGCAAGCCACAGCUCCAGAGCCCAGGGAGACCACGGGAGACCGCAGAGUCUGGGAGCCUGCCACCCCAGCAGGAGGUGGAUUGGAUGGCCUGUUUGCCUCUAUCCAAUUCUUUAUCAUUCUUGUGCAUGAAAAUUGCCCCAAACCAACUGUUUUCCUCACAGCUGUGCUCACCUGGGGUGGGGAGCCAGAAUGGCAGGGGACUUUCAUUAUUCAUCCCACUGAAACGCUAGAGCCAAACAGCACCACAAAGAAAAGUGUCUGUUUUCCCCAGAAGCUAUUCUAGUUGUGAGUGAGUUGGGGAGGGAAAGGUUAUCCUGGGAGCCUCUGGGCUACUGAACACUAGCAUCCAGCUUCUGGGUUGGGAAUGGUGCUUGGGCAAUGCUUUUCUUGGGUUUCCUCAAACUUUGUUAGGACAGUUCCUUAGCCAAGAAAACAUUUCUACAAGACCCUCCAUUCCAGUACUCCCUCUUCUUCCCACAGGGCCAGACCCAGAGGCAGUGCAUGGAACCUUCCUUCUUUGACAUCUAUUUGAGUUAGCCUCCCCUAGAGGAUGCUAUUUCUAUUGGUGUAACUGUCCUGGACAAGGACCCCAAAAAGUGACUGGGUAAACAGUGUCCGUUGCCUAGUAGGUAGGUACUCAAGCAGUUCCAUCUGGGUAGCUCAGCCAAGAUGGGAGUUUCAAAGUUUGUGAGGUGGUGACGGUGUCUAAUUAAUUCCUCCUUGCCAGGAAGGGAAGUGAAGGCCACCAAGGAUCUCAAGCUGAGCUGCUGUGGGGGAGGGGCUGUCGCCAUCCUCUAGCUGGCUUUCUAAAGCUGGCCAUAUGUUAAGAACAGCUGCUUUGAAGACCCUAGGCACAUCUUGGAGCUCUUCCUACAGACCUCGGCUACCUAGAUUGGCAGACACACCCCAUCUCUAUCUCCUUUCUUUGGCUCCCUGACAUUGGCACUACGGGCCUCCAGAAAUCUUCUGGGCUGUUACUACCCAGUGGGCUCCAUGCCUGCAAAGCAUCUUCCCUGAACUAAUGGCCUCAGUUGCUUCCACCUGAGUCACUUUAGGGUCCUGCUGCCACCUCCAUGUCCUUCUCAGGGCAUCUGCUCCAUCUCUUAGUUCCCCUACCCAAGUGAAGACCAGAAUCCUCUUCCUUGAUUUUUCUCAGCAUGCCACAGCAAGUUGGCAUUUGAAAAAAAAAAUUUCCAGAACUCUAAGGAAAGCACUACCAUAGCCAUCAUUUCUGGAUCUGUUUCUGACCAGAGAGACCAGGUUCCAUGCCCACAGACCUUUCCUGGGCCCAGGCCCCUGUGAGGAUGAGCCAGUAGGCUGAGUCCUCAAAGUACCAACUGAACAACCGGAAGAGGGUCCCUAGAGUUUGCCACAAGCUCUCCAGCAACACCCAAGUGGUGGCUUGUGCUGUACAAGGAAGCCAAAUGUUAAAGGCUCCUGGAGACCAAAGGCAGGACCCAGACACGAGGAACAGGUAGAGUUGGGCCAGCACAAAGCAAGUCAGGUCCCAGGAAACAAUUGCCACCAACACCUGUGAAGGUUCAGAACGGCUUACAGGGCUGCUGGUGUGAUGCUGUGCUGUGAGGGCCCAACAUGGGUGACAGCAGAGGGCUCCAGGCAAGGCAGAAGUCCUCACUUCCUUCCAGCUUCUGCCCGUUUUCAGAAGAGUUGAGCAAGCCACUCUGACUUCUCCAAUAACAACUUAAAAGAAGACCACAAGGACCUCACUUGGCACUGGGUGGCUCUCUUAUUAAGUCCAAGACAAUUCUAGUUGGCAAAACACGGAGAGGUUAUGUGCGUGGGCCUUGGAGCUGGUCAGAGACAGAUCUAAAUCGUGUCUGAUUUAUUCAGUGUCUAUAGCCCAUCUGAACCUCCAUUUCCUGAACAGUAAAAUGAAGAUUAUAUGACCACUUUCCUGAAUUGGAAUAAUUCCUGGAGAGGGUCUAACAUAUAUUAAGUGCUCAAUAAACGGCAGCAAUGUGAUUAUCACUUGGAUUUGAUUAUGGUCUAUUGAAUGACCUCAAAUUCAAGAGCGUGACCUUGAUAAAGUCCUCUAGAAGGGGGAACACCUUACCCACCUUUGAAUAGCAAAGACUGACAGCCGAAACUGCCCUUAUCUGCUCUAAGGGGAGGAUACAGCCUUCAGGUGGCCCUUUUCCUUCUCCACUGAGGUGGGCACCGGUAAGGAAGUGGAGAGGCGGCUGAUGAUUAAAUUGAGCCCUUUAGACAUGAAUUAUGGAUCGAUGACCUUUCCUGGCUUAAUUACUCCCACUGCUGUGUGGCCUGGGCUCUGGUGUGAAGCCCUGGAGGGGAGCAAAUUCUGCUCACAGCCAGCAAAACCCAGAGCCCCAAGCUCCUGCUUUUAUCUACCGUGGUUCACGUGGCUAUUUCUGUGGCCGGGAAAUUCUCUCACUGUGAUGAAGGUCACGCCCUAGUCUAGGGGCAGACCCCCUCUCGGUUCUCCUAAUCCUUUUGACCUUUCACAGCAUCGUCUUUUUAAGCUUACUGACAUCAGCUCAUUUUUUAAGGUGGAAUCUGAGGGUUCCUAAUGAAGCUGUCUCACUAAUAGAUCUGUGGGUUCUUACUGCGCUGGUACAUAGAGAGAGCACAGGGCACUGGACGGAGGGUGACCCUCUCAGCUUCAUGAGGGGAGAGAACAAGUGGCUGAGUUUUGCUUGAUAAAUGUUUUCAGACGUACAAAAAUAAAAGGAAAGAAUAAUAAAAUGAAAUCCCACAUACCUAUCACCUGCCUUCAAAAUAUAUUGAUAUUCUAACCUUGUUCAUUUCAUAUCUCAUCUGGUUAUUUUCAAAAGCCUUAAGGUAAAUUUCAGACAUUAUAUUAGCAUACCUGUCAAUUCAUCUGCAUACACUUCUAAUAUAUACAUAUAUGUGUAUAUAUAUGACUUUGCAUAUAUGUGCAACCAUCACCCCCAAAAAAACCUAACAAAAUAAUUCUCUUAUAUACAAUAUGUAAUUGUUAUUCAGUUGUCUACAAUGUCUUACAAUAUUUGGCAUAUUUUGACCCAAAAUACAUGGUGUGUGUGUGUGUGUGUGUGUGUGUGUGUGUGUGUGUGUGUGUGUGUGUGUGUGAGAUGUAUGCAUGUGUGUAUGUGGGUACACAUGCCCACACAUGUGCAUAUGAAGGCCAGAGUGGGACAUUAGUCUUUCUCUCUCAUUUUCUGCCCUAUUGUCUUGACAGAGGGGUCUCUCACUGAAAUGGUUAGGCUAUUUUGGCUAGGUUGGCUAGCCAGCAAGCUCCCGAGAACCCGCCUGUCUCUGCCCUACAAUGCUGGGGUAACAGACAUCCAUGGCCAUGCUCAGCUAUUUACAUGGGUACUGAGGAUUUGAACUCUGACCCUCAUACUUUCAGAACAAGUGUUUUUACCCACUGAGCAUUCAUCUCCAUUCCAGUACAUGGGUUUUAAGUAGUAGUGCCUGAAUUUCUUCAUCCAAAGCUGAUGGUCCCCAGUAGAACCACCUAGACAGCUGAGUGUGGCCAGUCAACUCAUUAGUGGAGAGGUAAAGAGGAGGACAUGAAGACUAAGCAGCCUUCAGGCUCUGUCUCUUAUGAUCGUUACGAAACUUGACUUAGGACUCUGCCCAAGUGUACAUGUUACCCUGUCUCCCCAGGCGUAGCCAGCUGUUCCACUCAUGGGCUUCUUGGGCCCUUAUUCUGAGCUGAAAGUUGAGGGGACAGAUAAGGAAGAGUCUGGAAGCUAAAGGAACUUGCUGUCCAAUACGGUGACAGCCUGGUGUCUUGACCCUGUUGUCAAGCGUGCACAAAGAAUAGUAGGCGGGCUGGAGCGAUGGCUCAGGGGUUAAGAGCACCGACUGCUCUUCCAGAGGUCCUGAGUGCAAUUCCCAGCAACCCCAUGGUGGCUCACAACCAUCUAUAAUGAGAUCUGGUGCCCUCUUCUGUGUACAUAAUAAAUAAAUAAAUCUUUAAAAAAAAAAAAAAAGGAAAGAAAGAAUAGUAGGCUGGAGAGGGAGCUCCAGUCUCUGGGAGCCAGGGAAGGCUUUAGAAACAGCGGCAUUUUGAGGUUGGGGAAAUGGCUUCAUGAGUAACAGUGGUUAUCUGCAAGCAUAAGGACCUGAGUUCAAAUUCAUAGCACCCACAUAAGAAGCCAGUCAUGGCUGCGUGCCCAUAACCCCAGCAUUGGGUAGGGGUGAGGGAGGGGAUUGGAGCCAGGUGGAGACCUAGAGUUCAUUACCCAGCCAGACUAAAAUGGUGAGUUUCUCAUUCACUGAGAGGCCUUGUCUAAAAAUAAUAAAGUAAAGCAUAACAGAAGAUGACGUGGAAUGUCUUGUUCUGGCCUCUACAAGCAUACCCAUGGGCACUUGCACAAAUCACACAGAGAGAGAGAGAGAGAGAGAGAGAGAGAGAGAGAGAGAGAGAGAGAGAGAGACAGACAGACAGACAGACAGACAGACAGACAGAGACACAGAGACAGACACAGAGACACACAGAGAGGCCACUCUUUCUUUAAAGAGUGGCAUUUUGAACCACAGGUGCUACAGGUGUCAAGGUCCCCAAGAGAGUCCCAUCUCCAGAUUCUAAGGCAGAAACAGACACAGAGACCAAAGAGAGAUCAAAUAUCUCCUUUCUCACAGGUGAAGCUGGAAAGGAGAACACAGCUUAGAUCUGAAGCCCAAAGGGACUCCUUGCUCCUCAUCACAAAAGAAUUUAAUUAAUUGAGGCAGGGCGCAGAGCGGAUGUGGACAAGAGAAAGAAACAUUAGGCAAACAGCACACAGUUAGAGCAUCACUGUCAACAGGCCAGCUCUUACCAGAAGAGGGAGGCAUCCUGAGAAGUUUGUCUUAGGCCAGAUGGUCUGUGGUGAGCAGCUGUGGUUCAGCUUCAGGAGACCUUACGUCUGAUGGGAGAGGAUGCUUCCUGUCUGCCUGUGGUCUCCACGUCCUCCCUCCAGGCCCUGACCUGGGCACUGUGCCCAAGUCUUCUCAGCCAAAUCAUUCCCUACAUGGGCUGUUCUCUGGAAGUCUUCUCCUCCUUCACUUCCUGCUCUCCGUGUUGACCUCUGUAGACCACACUCACACCCUGACCCUGUCACCCACAGCCUGCUCAAACACCUGCCACUGGUCCUUAGGCUGUUGUGUAGGUUCCUUCAUAUCACAGACGUCCCCAACAUCACUAUCAACUCAAUGCUUGGGAACUUCUGAUAGCUGUCCGCCUCUUUUCAAUACAACGCCACUUAGGUGCUUACUCUCGGCCAAGGCCUGUUUCUCUAAUGAACACAUUCAGCUGCUGACUGAAUCCACAUCUGAGCAUAGGAUGUACUGUAGCGAACAGACCCAGACUCCCAUCCCUCAGAGGCUUAUAAGCUAAUAGAGGAGAGGGAGGAUGAGCCCGUGUCAGGCACUCACAAAUGUCAGGAUGAAAAAUUAGGCUGAGGUGGAGAGCCACAGGUGAUGCCUUUGUGGGUAGAUUGUUCAGGAAACAUUUAUGAAGAGAUGGCAUUUGACCAGAACAAAAUGAGGGGGUGAGACAUUUGAUAACCAGGACAAGGAACUCCAGACAUCGAGAAAAACAAGUACAAUGGGCACGAUGUGCUUAAAUGUUCAAGGAGCAUCAGGAAAGUCAGUGUGCCUGGAGCAAAAUGAAAGAGAAAAAUGAGGCCAGGAAGCUGGCUCAGUGGCUGAGGGCACUUGCUGCCAAGCCUGAAGACCUGAGUUAGAUCCUUGGAGCCCACAUAUUGGAAGGAGAGGACCAACUCCCAAAAGUUGUCCUCUGACCUCCAUGUAUGUGCCUUUGUGGUACACCUGCUCUUACACACGCACAAAAUGAAUGAAUGAAUGAAUGAAUGAAUGAAUUGGAAGGAAUGGGACUACAUCUCAUAUGGAGUAUUUGUCAAGUGGAAGGGUGUAUACUCAGCAUCUAUUCCAGAAAAGUGUGUGAAUGAAUGAGUAGGAGGCCAAGUCCGGGAGGAAGGCUGGACUGUCCAAUAUAAGUAAACACAUGCUGCUAUUUAAAUUUAAGUUAGUUAGAAUGGAAUGAAAUUUAACAUUUUUUUUUAAAUCAGGAGGCUGGAGAUCAAUAGUUAAGAGCACUUGCUGUUCUUGCAGAGGACCUGGGUUCAAGUCUCACCAUUCAUAUUGUUUGGCUUACACGCGCCUGUAACUCCGGUUCCAGGAGAUGUGAUACCCUCGUUGGUCUCCUUGGGUGCCUGAACAUACGUGGUGAACAUACAUAUAAGUCAAGCACAAAUACACACAUAAAAUUUAAAAGUCCUUAAAAAAAAGAUGUGGGGAAUGACUCAGUGGGUAAAGGUGACUCCGGGGAACGCAGGGACCCGAGUUUAACCCCCAGCACCUAGGCGGUGGGAGGAGAGAGAGAACUCACUCCUGCAAGUCCUCCUCUGGCCUUCAUGUACCGAGGCUUGUGCGUGUGUUCACACACACAAUAAGUAAAUGUAAAAAUCUCCUUUAAUUCAAAAUCAGCUUCUCAGUUGCUGUAGGCUGCUCAGAAGUGUUAACAGCUGCCUGUGGUGCCACAGUGGCCAGCAAAGAGGGCGAUGCUUCCAUCGCUGAGAACGCUCUAGCGGACAGAGCCCACACGGCGCUUCGCAGACCUCAGUGAGAACGCGGGAUGUAUGCUGAGUGACGGAAGGAUCUGGAUUUGGACAAGAAUGCUCAUGAGCUGUUUCACAUUUUCAAUUAGGUGGUAGAAGUCUUCAAACCCAGCCCUUGAAAAGCAGAGUUGAAAAGGUCAGGAGUUCAAGGCCAAUCGCAGCUGCAUAGUAAAUUCAGCCCAACCUCAGCUCUGUGCCACCCUGUCUCGUCUCGGUCCCAUCCCAAAGUGUCCUUCUGCUUGUGUGGCGCAUACAGUACAGGACAAGGGUGGCAGUAGGGACGUCACUGAGAAGAAUAUUAUAAUGCCAGAGAGACAGGUGGUGGUGUCUGAACCUGGAUGAGGAUGGUAGAGGUGGUAGCUUGGAGUUGAAUUCUAUUUAUACAAAUGGCUGUGCUCAUGGGUUAAAACCUUUACCCCACUAGUCAGUGGAUUAAUCUACUGAUGAACUCAUAAUUUCAUGGCAUUAUUAGAAAGCAACAGAAACUUUUGGAGGUGGUGUCUGAGGAAGUAGGUCACUAGGGACCAUGUCUUUGGGGGGUAUAUCUUGUUACAGAGCAGUCUCUCACUCUCACUCUCUUCCUCCCUCCCUCUCUCCCUCCUGUCUGCCAUGAUGUCAAUACUCUCCUCUACAACAAACUUCUGAUGCCAACAUGUUCUGCCUUACUGGUAUGGGACAGAAAAGAUGGCUUUUAUAUUCUUUUAUAUUCUGCAUUACAACAAUACACCUACUCCGUUUGGUAUAAAGGGAUGUGCACCUGCAUCUUGUUACAACUGUAGCACCUACACGCUAACUGUUGUUCAGAUUUAACCCUCUCACCACCAGCCAGCCAAACAAGUUGCCCCUGGAGGAAUACAAGGUGAACACUGUCAGCCACGAUCCGGUGUUAGAAGAAGUACCUGAGCCCAGACAUCCACAAGAUGAGGCAGAAGGCAAGGAUAACAAGAAACGCACUGGCAUCACAAGCUGCAGAAACGUGACGGAAGAGCAAAACUGAGCUCCGCAAGGAUCAGCUUCUUCUGAUCCCCACCCCGCACUUUCAAAUAAGCUGCCGGCUGCAGCUGAGAUGUAGGCGGCAUGUUUAAGACAUUAACCCGCCGCCUUAGGUGCCCAGCUUGCUGAGUAAAGUGCGCUUAGAGACUCAGUCCUCGGCACUGCUCACUGGCUAAUCUGGUCACAGACAGCACAAGGUCUGGUAAACUCUGGCAGCUCCACAAGGACGGCUUCAAGACCACCCAAAAAGUCCCCGAGUCAAUGAGGCAUCACCAUCGAUGCCUGGACUUGGGAAGCCAGAGUUCCGGGCUGGAACACUCUUAAGUGGCUCCACUGGGGAGCUUCCUGGUUCCCGGGACCCUGGCACAUAGACUAUGUUGCUUUCACUUCACAAAGGGAAUCGUGGAGCUUUCUGGUUCAGUGCCUGGGUUAAAGGAAGAAGUACAGCACAGAGGAAACAGCAAGCGAGAAGGAAGAGGUAUGCAGAGAAGACUAGUCUGAGGAUGCAGUUUUGGGUAAGGAAAACGGAACAGAAAAGGAAGGAUUUUAUAUCGCUAAAUAAAAUUUUCUCCUUAGAUAAAAUGACUAUAAUUUUCCAAAAUGGGAAAGGAAAGAUGUGGACAAGCCCAGUGGGCUUAAGCAUGUUGGAAAACAUCUGAGCAAAUCAUUCAAGGCUUGAGAAGGCGGCAACUUAAAGAUGGUCUGUGUAUGCUGAAUAAAGGUUAUUAAAAUUCCAAAAUUCAACGCAUGGAUACAAGACUAAUGCUUCAAACAACGAGGUCAGAAUCAACACAAAGUCAUGCUGGCUAUUUGCAGGGCUGAAGCAGGGAGGUUAGAAGUUCAAGGCCAGCCUGGGCUUCCUAAGGAGACCGUGUCUCAAAGCCAAUAGCAAAAAAAUGGAGUCGAUUUAUUCCAACCAUUUCAAAAGUAACCAAGGCUGAGGGGUUAUAGAGAAAUGAUUUUAUCUGAGGCUACCUGAUGCAGUGAGUGUCUUCUAACCUUGGCUCUUACUUUUGUUUCUGGCACACACGUUUCUUAAAUAGUUUCUUAAAUAAUUUCACACCAAGUCAAAACUGCUUUUUGUGGCAUGUGGAGUACUCUGAUAUGUACAACUUUGUGCUGGAGAGUUCCACACUGGUCAUAAACGUCAGUGAGCAUGUCUUUCAUAAACUGCAGAUGUAAUGGAUAAGAGUCACUACUGGAGUGCGGGAAACAGGGGACAGGUGAGACAAAGAGGAGCAAUUUUGUACUCUGUAUUAUCGUAGUAGUUCGAUGAGAAUGGCCCCCCAUAGGCUCAUAUGUUUGGACACUUGUUGGAGGAAGUGUGUCACUUGGGGAUGGGCUUUGAGAUUUCAAAAUCCCAUGCCAUUCCCAUCCUCUCUGCCUCAUGCUUGUGGAUCAAGAUGUCAUCUCUCAGCUACUGAUCCAGUGCCAUGGCUGCCUGCUUGCCUACUGCCAUGCUUCCUGCCAUGAUGGUUAUGGACCAUCUGAAACUGUAAGCCCCCACUAAACUCUUUCUUCUAGAAGUUUCUUUGGUCAAGGUGUUUUAUCACAGCAACAUAAAAGUAACUAAGACAAUUAUAAAGACACAUUUGUACUCCACAUUGUAAAAGGGAAUUUGUGUGUACAUAUUAUCUCUAGCUUAUUACUUACAUACUAUCAAUGUUUUGUUUCUGAGUUAAUCCCACUCCCUAGGAUGCCCUGAAGGAGUGCAAGGUCGAUACCAGCCGAAACUAAACAGGUGGAGCAUUUCGAGAAGUGUCUGAGCCCAAACACCCGCAGAAUGAGGCCAGAGUGCAAAGGAGGAUAACAAGAGAAGCAUAGACAUCUCAAAUCUCAGAGCUGUGGCCAGCCUCCUAGGCAGAGGCUCAAAGGGGAGCCCUGAAAUGACAGACCGCCUUUAUCUCCAAAGCCUUCUCUCUCUAUAAAUAAUCCUGGCUGGAGAUGAGAGGGACGGCUGUUUACUAAGGUCUUAAUGCUUCUCGGGGCACCAGCCUUCUGGAAAAAGCACAACUUAAGGAGUUAAUUCUACAAAGACUCAUUGGCCUCUGUGAUGACAGCCACAGGGGCUCUGGCUAUAAGAGAAGCCAAUGGAGUCAGCUGAGCAUGGAACUAACUCUCCUAAACCAUGAGUCAAAACACAACACUCCUCUAAGUUUUCUCAGGAAUUUUGUCAUAGCAGCAACAAAAUAGAACAUACUCUAGGAAUGACUUUGCGAUGUGGCUGUAAUCUAAAAAAUCAUAAUAAAUUGAAAAUAUGAGUUCAAAACAA